GAAUUGAUCUGGUCAGGAUGAACGCUGGCGGCGUGCCUAACACAUGCAAGUCGAGCGAUUCUCUUCGGAGAAGAGCGGCGGACGGGUGAGUAACGCGUGGGUAACCUGCCUCAUACACAUGGAUAACAUACCGAAAGGUAUGCUAAUACAGGAUAAUAUAAGAAAUUCACAUGGAUUUCUUAUCAAAGCUCCGGCGGUAUGAGAUGGACCCGCGUCUGAUUAGCUAGUUGGUAAGGUAACGGCUUACCAAGGCGACGAUCAGUAGCCGACCUGAGAGGGUGAUCGGCCACAUUGGAACUGAGACACGGUCCAAACUCCUACGGGAGGCAGCAGUGGGGAAUAUUGCACAAUGGGCGAAAGCCUGAUGCAGCAACGCCGCGUGAGUGAUGAAGGCCUUCGGGUCGUAAAACUCUGUCCUCAAGGAAGAUAAUGACGGUACUUGAGGAGGAAGCCCCGGCUAACUACGUGCCAGCAGCCGC
This 479-nucleotide ribosomal RNA is filed under the name uncultured bacterium. RNAcentral's name for it is "bacterial SSU rRNA". It matches the Rfam family "Bacterial small subunit ribosomal RNA", at positions 1 to 518 of the family's 1533-position model. The record is from RNAcentral.